RNAcentral lists this small nuclear RNA (202 nucleotides) under Myotis brandtii (Brandt's bat). Its description in RNAcentral is "U1 spliceosomal RNA". The stretch from base 1 to 164 matches the Rfam family "U1 spliceosomal RNA". From Rfam's summary of the family: U1 is a small nuclear RNA (snRNA) component of the spliceosome (involved in pre-mRNA splicing). Lineage: Eukaryota; Metazoa; Chordata; Mammalia; Chiroptera; Vespertilionidae. The record is from Rfam by way of RNAcentral.
AUACUUACCUGGCAGGGGAGAUACCAUGAUCACGAAAGUGGUUUUCCCAGGGCGAGGCUUAUCCAUUGCACUCCGGAUGUGCUGACCCCUGCGAUUUCCCCAAAUGUGGGAAACUCGACUGCAUAAUUUGGGGUAGUGGGGAAAAAAAAAAAAAAAGACUCCAAGAUCAAGAGUCUGAUUUUCGUGUUGUGGUUCUUCCCCC